RNAcentral lists this ribosomal RNA (549 nucleotides) under uncultured crenarchaeote. RNAcentral's name for it is "bacterial SSU rRNA". It matches the Rfam family "Archaeal small subunit ribosomal RNA", at positions 327 to 879 of the family's 1478-position model. Lineage: Archaea; Thermoproteati; Thermoproteota. The record is from RNAcentral.
GGGGUGCAGCAGGCGCGAAACCUCUGCAAUAGGCGAAAGCUUGACAGGGUUAUUCUGAGUGAUUUCCGUUAAGGAAAUCUUUUGGCACCUCUAAAAAUGGUGCAGAAUAAGGGGUGGGCAAGCCUGGUGCCAGCCGCCGCGGUAAUACCAGCACCCCGAGUGGUCGGGACGAUUAUUGGGCCUAAAGCAUCCGUAGCCGGUUCUACAAGUCUUCCGUUAAAUCCACCUGCUCAACAGUUGGGCUGCGGGGGAUACUACAGCGCUAGGAGGCGGGAGAGGCAAGCGGUACUUAAUGGGUAGGGGUAAAACCCAUUGAUCCAUUGAAGACCACCAGUGGCGAAGGCGGCUUGCCAGAACGCGCUCGACGGUGAGGGAUGAAAGCUGGGGGAGCAAACCGGAUUAGAUACCCGGGUAGUCCCAGCUGUAAACGAUGCAGACUCGGUGAUGAAUAGGCUUCGUGCCUUUUCGGUGCCGCAGGGAAGCCGUUAAGUCUGCCGCCUGGGGAGUACGGUCGCAAGACUGAAACUUAAAGGAAUGGCGGGGGAGCAC